This 426-nucleotide ribosomal RNA is filed under the name uncultured bacterium. RNAcentral describes it as "bacterial SSU rRNA". It matches the Rfam family "Bacterial small subunit ribosomal RNA", at positions 357 to 775 of the family's 1533-position model. The record is from RNAcentral.
AGGAAUAUUCGUCAAUGGAGGAAACUCUGAACGAGCAAUGCCGCGUGAACGAUGAAGGCCCUAUGGGUUGUAAAGUUCUGUUGUUUGGAACGAAUAACUAGAUGAGGCAAUGCUUCUAGUCUGACGGUAACAUUCAAGAAAGCCACGGCUAACUACGUGCCAGCAGCCGCGGUAAUACGUAGGUGGCGAGCGUUAUCCGGAUUUAUUGGGCGUAAAGCGUGCGCAGGCGGUUUGUUAAGUCUAAAAUUAAAGUCCGAAGCUUAACUUCGGUUCGUUUUAGAAACUGGCAGACUUGAGUAUGGUAGAGGCAAAUGGAAUUUCUAGUGUAGCGGUAGAAUGCGUAGAUAUUAGAAGGAACACCAGUGGCGAAGGCGGUUUGCUGGGCCAUUACUGACGCUCAUGCACGAAAGCGUGGGGAGCAAAUAG